This 648-nucleotide ribosomal RNA is filed under the name uncultured rumen bacterium. Its description in RNAcentral is "bacterial SSU rRNA". It matches the Rfam family "Bacterial small subunit ribosomal RNA", at positions 755 to 1404 of the family's 1533-position model. The record is from RNAcentral.
GUGGCGGGUUAUCGAACAGGAUAGAUACCGUGGUAGUCGCACGGUAAACGAUGGAUGCCCCGCUGCUCGGCCGAUACAAUGUCAGCGGCCAAGCGAAAGCGUAAAGCAUCCCACCUGGGGAGUACGCCGGCAACGGUGAAACUCAAAGGAAGUGGACGGGGGCCCGCACAAGCGGAGGCAACAUGUGGUUUAAUUCGAUGAUACGCGAGGAACAUUACCCCGGGCUUGAACUGCAGGAGAACGAUUCAGAGAUGAUGAGGUCCUUCGGGUCUCCUGUGGAGGUGCUGCAUGGUUGUCGUCAGCUCGUGCCGUGAGGUGUCGGCUUAAGUGCCAUAACGAGCGCAACCCCUGCGACUAGUUGCCAUCAGGUUAUGCUGGGCACUCUGGUUGGACUGCCAACCGUAAGGUGUGAGGAAGGUGGGGAUGACGUCAAAUCAGCACGGCCCUUACGUCCGGGGCUACACACGUGUUACAAUGGGUGGUACAGAGAGCCAAUCCCCAGCAAUGUGGAUUCAAUCCUUAAAGCCAUCCUCAGUUCGGACUGGGGUCUGCAACCCGACCCCACGAAGCUGGAUUCGCUAGUAAUCGCGCAUCAGCCAUGGCGCGGUGAAUACGUUCCCGGGCCUUGUACACACCGCCCUAAUCUGA